GGGGGUGUAGCUCAGUGGGAGAGCGCCUGCCUUGCACGCAGGAGGCCAUCGGUUCAACCCCGUUCACCUCCACCA
RNAcentral lists this transfer RNA (75 nucleotides) under Deltaproteobacteria bacterium ADurb.Bin135. RNAcentral describes it as "tRNA-Ala". It matches the Rfam family "tRNA". Rfam says of the family: Transfer RNA (tRNA) molecules are approximately 80 nucleotides in length. Their secondary structure includes four short double-helical elements and three loops (D, anti-codon, and T loops). Lineage: Bacteria; Deltaproteobacteria. The record is from RNAcentral. RNAcentral also lists the same sequence under 1 other name.